UAAAACGUAAGAUAAAAAUCAACCCUGGGGUC
This 32-nucleotide non-coding RNA is filed under the name Mus musculus (house mouse). The record is from RNAcentral. Lineage: Eukaryota; Metazoa; Chordata; Mammalia; Rodentia; Muridae.